GCCCAGUGAUGAGACCAAGGCGAAUACGAGCUUACUGAAUGAGAAUUGGGUUCUUCUUUACCGAUACUGGCAGGUAAUCUUGGCAGUGCAGAGGAGAAUUCCUGCUCUGCUGUAAGGGCCUGCCUACAGUGUUUUGGCUCACCCCCAAAGUAUUCCUUUAAAGCUACAGUGGAGUAAUCGGGGAUGAAGCUGACAGUGUGUGUGUUUCUGUGUAUGGUUGUGUGUGCAUUUGUGUACGUGUGUAAGAGGCAAUGAAGUUCACCCAAUUAUCUUUGCGGUUCAGUCAGCCAUGAGUUGCUUCUUUGGUAAUCUGAGGGUG
Scatophagus argus is the source of this 319-nucleotide small nucleolar RNA. The record is from RefSeq and is a predicted model, not a curated record. Lineage: Eukaryota; Metazoa; Chordata; Actinopteri; Scatophagidae.